AGGCAGCCUACUUGCUUUUAUACAAUGGCAUGAGAGGUGUUUAACUGCUCAUAAAUCAAUUUCUUUGGCUCUUCAGAUUUGCUGAGAUUUUUCUCUGAAGCUGGUCUAGUAAGCUUAAGUAUAUU
Molecule: small nucleolar RNA, 125 nt
Organism: Lathyrus oleraceus (garden pea)
Lineage: Eukaryota; Viridiplantae; Streptophyta; Magnoliopsida; Fabales; Fabaceae
Product: small nucleolar RNA snoR77
Exons: 1
Source: RefSeq, a predicted model, not a curated record